GAGAAAGAAAAGAAAGAAAAACUAGGCGCGGUCACGUGUGCACGCUUGGGCUCCUUACUGCUCAGAAUUUUAGAAUCACAGAUCCAGCAGUGAUCAGGCAGCUGCAGCUGUCAGGGACCACCACCACCUACGCGAUUGAUCCGUGGGAGAAGCCCUCCUACUCUUUUCUUUCUCCUUUGUCCUUCUCAUUCCUGACCCCUUCAGGAUUCUCAGUCUUCCCUCCGGGAGACUUUUGGCCAGUCUUGUCUCGCUCCAACCUCCUACCCCCACCCCAUUCCUCAGUGCAUUCGUGAAUUUCUCCAAGCAGGCCUUUCCAGAUCGACACUAAGUUCCAAUCCCGAGCUGUGUGACCCAGCACCAAUUCAGUCACGAUGAUGACUUGCAAUUGCUUAAUCAGUUUGCCUUUCCUCCUAGCUGUGAAGUUUACCGUGCAGGAUUGCAAACACCAGAGAGAAAAUCAGUCUCUGGAAUGAUGCCUUUGAUGGACCAAGUUGCAGCUGAUGAAGCAUUGAACCAAUUAGCACCUAGCAGGAGGGCACCCUUGCUCUGUGUCCUUGAAGGUUAAAGCUGUCAAAAAGUGGUCUCCCUCAAGUUCGGCCAUCUUGCUCUCAGAGAUCUAGAACUGUACUCAGUCAAAAUUUUGGGCCAAGGAGACCGACGCGCUGUCGCCUGCACUAAGAGAAACGCAACGAACAACUGUGUCAAUGCAUUGCAUUAUACUAUAGCAGCAACUAUACUUUUAAAUGAUUCGAAUCUUGAGGUUUCAAACUGAACCGUCUUGUGCCUUUUGCCCGGCGGGUAUUUCUGCGGAGACCGCGGGUCACCUUCUGAAUUUUUACCUUCAUAAACAGCAAGGACUGCGCUCUUUCGCACGGCGCCCCGUUUUUUCGUAGAGUUCCGUCGGCCAAAACCACUUGAAACUCGCUCAGCGGCGUCGGGGCUCCAGCCAGGCGUCACCUUCCACGGCGAACCUGCGAACCACAGCGUCCCCUGGGGGUCUCCGUCCGCGUGGCCGCUUCCCCUUACAUCCGUGACGCAAGGGAAGGGCGUCUAGGAUCCGCCGGUUUCCUUCCUCACUGCUCCUCACAGUGCGAAAGCAACGUGUUCGGGGGUCGGGGUGUGUGGCGGCUGAACAGCUGCCUGAAGUUCUCUGAUGGCGCUGGAGGGAGCUCCAGAGAAGAGGUCAUGGGGAGAAGGCACACCUUAAA
Long non-coding RNA from Gorilla gorilla gorilla (western lowland gorilla), 1208 nucleotides. RefSeq lists it as uncharacterized. The record is from RefSeq and is a predicted model, not a curated record. The transcript has 5 exons. Lineage: Eukaryota; Metazoa; Chordata; Mammalia; Primates; Hominidae.